UACGUAGGGUGCGAGCGUUAAUCGGAAUUACUGGGCGUAAAGCGUGCGCAGGCGGUGAUGUAAGACAGAUGUGAAAUCCCCGGGCUCAACCUGGGAACUGCAUUUGUGACUGCAUCGCUGGAGUGCGGCAGAGGGGGAUGGAAUUCCGCGUGUAGCAGUGAAAUGCGUAGAUAUGCGGAGGAACACCGAUGGCGAAGGCAAUCCCCUGGGCCGAUACUGACGCUGAGGAGCGAAAGCGUGGGGAGCGAACAGG
Molecule: ribosomal RNA, 253 nt
Filed under: uncultured bacterium
Lineage: Bacteria
Description: partial 16S ribosomal RNA
Rfam family: Bacterial small subunit ribosomal RNA
Source: RNAcentral